UGGCCGCAGGCCUAACACAUGCAAGUCGAGCGGCAGCGGGUCCUUCGGGAUGCCGGCGAGCGGCGGACGGGUGAGUAAUGCCUAGGAAUCUGCCUGAUAGUGGGGGAUAACGUUCGGAAACGGACGCUAAUACCGCAUACGUCCUACGGGAGAAAGCGGGGGAUCUUCGGACCUCGCGCUAUCAGAUGAGCCUAGGUCGGAUUAGCUAGUUGGUGAGGUAAUGGCUCACCAAGGCGACGAUCCGUAACUGGUCUGAGAGGAUGAUCAGUCACACUGGAACUGAGACACGGUCCAGACUCCUACGGGAGGCAGCAGUGGGGAAUAUUGGACAAUGGGCGAAAGCCUGAUCCAGCCAUGCCGCGUGUGUGAAGAAGGUCUUCGGAUUGUAAAGCACUUUAAGUUGGGAGGAAGGGCAGUAAGCUAAUACCUUGCUGUUUUGACGUUACCAACAGAAUAAGCACCGGCUAACUUCGUGCCAGCAGCCGCGGUAAUACGAAGGGUGCAAGCGUUAAUCGGAAUUACUGGGCGUAAAGCGCGCGUAGGUGGUUCAGCAAGUUGGAUGUGAAAGCCCUGGGCUCAACCUGGGAACUGCAUCCAAAACUACUGAGCUAGAGUACGGUAGAGGGUGGUGGAAUUUCCUGUGUAGCGGUGAAAUGCGUAGAUAUAGGAAGGAACACCAGUGGCGAAGGCGACCACCUGGACUGAUACUGACUCUGA
This 717-nucleotide ribosomal RNA is filed under the name Metapseudomonas resinovorans. Its description in RNAcentral is "bacterial SSU rRNA". It matches the Rfam family "Bacterial small subunit ribosomal RNA", at positions 37 to 749 of the family's 1533-position model. Lineage: Bacteria; Pseudomonadati; Pseudomonadota; Gammaproteobacteria; Pseudomonadales; Pseudomonadaceae. The record is from RNAcentral.